CGUACUACAAUGGGUGUUACAGAGGGAAGCUAAGCAGCGAUGUGGAGCGAAACCCCAAAAGCACCCCCAGUUCGGAUUGAAGGCUGAAAUUCGCCUUUAUGAAGCCGGAAUUGCUAGUAAUGGCAGGUCAGCAUACUGCCGUGAAUACGUUCCCGGGCCUUGUACACACCGCCCGUCACACCAUGAGAGUCGGGAACACCCGAAGUCCGUAGCCUAACCGCGGAGGGGGGCGCGGCCGAAGGUGGGUUCGAUAAUUGGGGUGAAGUCGUAACAAGGUACC
Molecule: ribosomal RNA, 280 nt
Filed under: uncultured bacterium
Lineage: Bacteria
Description: partial 16S ribosomal RNA
Rfam family: Bacterial small subunit ribosomal RNA
Source: RNAcentral